This 380-nucleotide unclassified non-coding RNA is filed under the name fungal sp. RNAcentral's name for it is "partial internal transcribed spacer region". The stretch from base 1 to 46 matches the Rfam family "Eukaryotic small subunit ribosomal RNA", at positions 1786 to 1831 of the family's 1831-position model. The record is from RNAcentral. Lineage: Eukaryota; Fungi.
AAGUCGUAACAAGGUUUCCGUAGGUGAACCUGCGGAAGGAUCAUUAACACAUCCCUUUCUAUUAUAUACUUUGGCGCACCUGUCUUAAAUGAGCCUUUACUGUUGUAAGUCCGGAUUUGGCAAUGGUUUGGAUUCUCUUGCUUCGGCGAGGGAUUGGCCUGCCGGAUAGCACUGAUCGAGGUGCACCUUACACAGUCUUGGUAUUCAGUCCCUAACCAUGACUGAGCCCUUUUUCUUUUUUUAACCAAUUGAUUUUUUGAAUUGAAUUGGUUCGGAUUGAGAAGAGCCCUUUAUCGGGUUUGCCUCUCUGAGCCUUUAAUGGAGAAAUCCAUUAAAAAUCAAAUAAAACACAACUCUUAACAGCGGAUAUCUCGGUUCUC